This 280-nucleotide long non-coding RNA is filed under the name Nicotiana benthamiana. RNAcentral's name for it is "long non-coding RNA (NBEN_LNC013215)". The record is from RNAcentral. Lineage: Eukaryota; Viridiplantae; Streptophyta; Magnoliopsida; Solanales; Solanaceae.
AUCUACGGGAGCUUGGGUUUCGUCAUCAUCAUCAUCCUCAUUUCCCUCUAUUAUAGGUGCAUUAGGAUAAAGCAUAUUCAUAAUAUCAUCGUUUAUUCUAUCACCUACUGCUACAUCAUGUAGAAAAUCAACAUCGCCAAAUUGAAAACAUGGGUGAUUACUAUCAAGUAUUCCAAAAUUUUCAUUAGUAUUUCUAGGUUGGCUACUAGUUUCAACUUGUUUAUCUUUUCUAGGUCGGGGAGCCGGGGGAGGGGUAGGAUUUUGGCGACUACUUUNNNNN